RNAcentral lists this ribosomal RNA (464 nucleotides) under uncultured bacterium. RNAcentral's name for it is "partial 16S ribosomal RNA". It matches the Rfam family "Bacterial small subunit ribosomal RNA", at positions 28 to 507 of the family's 1533-position model. The record is from RNAcentral.
GACGAACGCUGGCGGCGUGCUUAACACAUGCAAGUCGAGCGGGAAGGCCACUUCGGUGGUACUCGAGCGGCGAACGGGUGAGUAACACGUGAGUAAUCUGCCCUUGGCUUUGGGAUAGCCACCGGAAACGGUGAUUAAUACCGGAUACGACCACUCCAGGCAUCUGGUGGUGGUGGAAAGUUUUUCGGCCAGGGGUGUGCUCGCGGCCUAUCAGCUUGAUGGUGAGGUAAUGGCUCACCACGGCUUCGACGGGUUGCCCGCCUGAGAGGGGGACCGGUCACACUGGGGGUGAGACACGGCGCCCACUCCUCCGGGGGGGAGAGGUGGGGAAAAUAGGGGACUGGGCGGGAGACUCAUCCAGAGACGCCGUGUGUGCGAUAACGGCCUUCGGGGUGUAAACCUCGUUCGCAAGGGACGAAGAGCAAGUGACGGUACCUACUAAAGAAGCGACGGCCAACUACGUG